RNAcentral lists this transfer RNA (71 nucleotides) under Dipodomys ordii (Ord's kangaroo rat). It matches the Rfam family "tRNA". From Rfam's summary of the family: Transfer RNA (tRNA) molecules are approximately 80 nucleotides in length. Lineage: Eukaryota; Metazoa; Chordata; Mammalia; Rodentia; Heteromyidae. The record is from Rfam by way of RNAcentral.
GGGAAGGUGGCUCAGUGGUAGAGUGCUUGCCUUGCAUGCAUGAGGCCCUGGGUUGGAUUCCUUAGCACCCA